AGCGGUGCUUUCUGGGAACUGUAGUCUUCUUGCGUACUGGAGGGAUACCGAGGCAACCGUCGGAACUACAAUGCCCAAAAGGCCCCAAGUCGGACGCGCCCAGAGUGAAGGAGCAAAGGGGACUCGGCCGCCAUGUUAGGAGUACUGGGACGAUUCCGCGGAGCCGGGCAGAGGUUUUAGGGGAAUGAUUAACAAAGGCGUCCGAAGAAAUCGUUGUUGGAAGGUGGCCAAGCUGGAAAGAAACGUUGCUUUGGCCCUGCAAGUAAGAAGAGAGAAGGAACAGCCUGAAGGAGUAACACUAAAUUUAAAAUGACACUUUUUUACCAACCAGCGAAAACAGAUGUUCAAAGGGGAUAUUGGCCAGAGUCUGUCACACUAAGAUGAGAAAUGUCGUUUCUUCCUGAAGGUGUCUGAUGUGUAAAAAUACUGAUAUACUUUGUGCUGUUUCCUCCCUUCCCUUUUGCACAUUAAUCUGAAACAAAAUUAACUAGUUAUUUUGCGUCAUUGAAGAAACUCACUUUGAGGCCAAGCGUGGUUGCUCAGGCCUGUAAUUCCAGCACUUCAGGAGGCAGAGGCAGGUGGAUCACCUGAGGUCAGGAGUUGGAGACCAGCCUGGCCAACAUGACGAAACCCUGUCUCUACUAAAACUACAAAAAUUAGCCUGGCAUGGUGGCACACACCUGUAAUUCUAGCUGCUCGGGAGGCUGAAGCACGAGAAUCACUUGAACCUGGGAGGCAGAGGUUGCAGUGAGCCGAGGUUGCAGUGAAUCAAGAUCACACCGCUGCACUCCAGCCUGGGCAAUAGAGUGAGACUCCGUCUCAAGAAGAAGAAAAAGAAAAAAACCCACUUUGAGCUCUGCUAGACCAUUGUCCUUGUAUGUGAAAUUUUAUCUGGAUAGAAGAAGAUGAGGAAAAAAAAUUUUCUUGUCUUUUAGUGGAGGAGAAUGACGUGUAAAACAAGUAUUCUUUAAAAAUUCCAAAUAUGGUAGGAGAACUACCCCAUAAAGUUGUGAAGGUCAAAUUGGUGAAAGGAAAACUAAGUGCUGUGUAAAUUACAAGGUUUUCGAAGUAUCCACCUGGUCCUUACCUUGCUAUAGAAUUUUUUCUUUUUUUUUUUUUUUUGAGAUGGAGUCUCGCUCUCUCGCCCAAGCUGGAGUGCAGUGGCGCAAGCUCCACUUACUGCAAGCUCCGCCUCCUGGGUUCACACCAUUCUCCUGCCUCAGCCUCCCGAGUAGCUGGGAUUACAGGUGCCCACCACCACG
Symphalangus syndactylus (siamang) is the source of this 1262-nucleotide long non-coding RNA. RefSeq lists it as uncharacterized. Lineage: Eukaryota; Metazoa; Chordata; Mammalia; Primates; Hylobatidae. The record is from RefSeq and is a predicted model, not a curated record.